GACACAGAAAGCCUAGAGGAUAGUUUUACCGUGCAGCUGACAGAUGGCAAGCACACAGUCCAAGGGACAUUUUACAUCUACAUCAUGCCAUUCAACGAUGAAAUCCUUCAUCUUUCCAGAAAUAUGGAUUUGGAAGUCAAAGUAGCUGAGAGAAGUCACUUCCAUUGCAGACAAGGAUUCUCCAAGGUAUAAACACUGCGUGGUCUCCAAUGUGCCCAGACCUGGAGAUCUGCAAUUGAAGGUAGCAGUGCCUUUAGUAUUUAGACCCUUUUCCUGGAGACAAGUGAAAUCCCCAGUCUGCUCC
This 304-nucleotide long non-coding RNA is filed under the name Struthio camelus australis. RNAcentral describes it as "lncRNA (ENSSCUG00000003933.1)". Lineage: Eukaryota; Metazoa; Chordata; Aves; Struthioniformes; Struthionidae. The record is from RNAcentral.